Molecule: long non-coding RNA, 3953 nt
Organism: Hemicordylus capensis (graceful crag lizard)
Lineage: Eukaryota; Metazoa; Chordata; Lepidosauria; Squamata; Cordylidae
Exons: 3
Source: RefSeq, a predicted model, not a curated record
GCGGCAAUCGCCAUUUUGUUAACUCUUGGACCGUGUGCUGAGAGAAGAGCUUGCUGAGAGCCUCAGAUUAUGAAAAAAAAUGUGUCAGACUAUUUACACAAGCUGCCCCACCGGUAUCAAUGAAAGGUCGGGAGGUCAGAAACCUCAGGAGACUGCUGAUGAGAUGCCGGGCUGAAGGGAAAAUGCUACCCCUUCUGGUAAAAGGUCAGAGCGGUGUGGAGCCUUCAAUAGACUGAUGCGACUGCAGGGGACUGUCAACCUAGUAGAAAGGACACUGGCACUCAAGCCAGCAUUGAGGCCACAUCCUAUGACCUGGAAGACCUUGCCAUACACCCAAGAAGUAUGAAGACUAGUUCAUUUUAUUUAUUCAUAAUAUUUGCAUCUUCACCCUCCAGUACGGUCUCUCUAAAAAGAGGGAUUUUGAAGUGCUGUGGUUGCUUAGUGCCACGAAAGCAAAUCCCAGAUCGGAUGGUGGAGUGCCCAUCUGGCAGCAUGUGGCUUCCCAUCCCCGAACCUUACUUGGUAAACUGUGUUCCUGAUCAGAGUCCUGCUGAUGCUCUAGGAAAGGAUAACGAAGCAGGCCCAGCUGCUCACUUGAUGCCUAGCUGUUGCUGGUGCAACUUCUCAUCUUGCUUAGACCCCAGGAACUUCUGCUGGACAGCUCCCUUGCUAGUUAGACAUAGACACCUUGGCCCCUGACCUGCUGGACAGCUUGCCAUUAAGACAGCAAUGGAGGCAGGAAUGGGUCACUCAUGAAGGGCGCAAGAAGAAGUGGCACAAGAGCACCCCAAGUGAACGUCGUCUUUGCCAUGAGCCCCACUGCUUGUAGAUCGUCUGGAGAAGUUCGUCUGUGGUUUGUCGGCUACUCAGGAACUUGCCAAGUCGUUUGGCGGCUACUCGGGAACAGGCCUCCUCCAUUGCUGCCCCUGGACUUUGAAAUGCACUCCCUGUUGAAAUAAGAGCCUCUCCAUCUCUGGCAACUUUUAAAAAGGCACCGAAGACACAUUUAUUCACCCUGGCUUUUAAUUAGAUAUAUGGUUUUAAUUUUUAAUAUUGGGUUUUAAAUGUUUUAAAUGAUUUUAAUUGUUAAUUGAUUUAAUGUUUUUAAUGGUCUUAAUUGUAAAGCGCCCAGAGAUGCACGUUUUGGGCGGUAUAGAUAUAUUUUAAAUAAAUAAACUAAUUAAAGUAAGUGCUGCUCCCUUAUUAUGUAUAAGGCCUGUGUGAAGCUUUGGCCCAAAGCCAAAUAUUCUGCACAGCCCACUUGGCACUGUGUGGAGGUGACUGUUCCCACCUUGCAAUGCUACACUGAGCCCAAUGCCAGUGGGUCUCCUUUAAUGGAAACAGAGCCCUCUCAAGCCCCAGCCCCACCAACAUGUGGAGUGCUUUUCCCCACUUCUGCCUAUGAAAAAAGCUCUGGGGAGGAUGACUCUUCCCAGCAGUCCAUGAACCCCUUCCAAGAUGGUCCUCUGUUUCUCUUAAAAGGUCCCUCCCCAGCUCUGUAAAAAGUGCCAUGCUGCAUGGAGGUCAGCGCAGUAGGAAAUGGUUCUUACUUUGCAGGGUCUUUGCUAGAGGGGCUCCAAUAGAAAAAUAACGAAGAUCAUUGCCCCAUGGCAGAGGUGGGCAACUUUGGCUUUCCAACUGUUGCUGAACUACAACUCCCAUCAUCCUUGUUGUAGCAAGCAUGAGCUAAGCAGGUUCCACCCUGGUUGCAUAAGAAUGGGAGACUUGAUGUGUGAGCACUGUAAGAUAUUCCCCACAGGGGGUGGAGCCGCUCAGGGAAGAGCAUCUAGGUUUCAAGUUCCCUCCGUGGCAUCUCCAAGAUAGGGCUGAGAGAGACUCCUGCCUGCAACCUGUUGGGAAUUCUCUCUGGUAAGAGAUACACUUCUAAUAUAGCAGAGUGCACAGAGGCAAAACACAGCGGAGUCUGCCCAGGCAUGUGUGUUUGCUGAGAGCAAAAGAAACUUGGAGCCAGUUCAUAGUUUCAAAUCAAUAUAAGGAGUCUUUAUUGGAGAACUCCAUUCUAGAUAGGAAAGUGGAGAGAUAGGAUCUCUAAUCUUGCUAGUUAGCUGGAUGCAGAGAGAUGCUGUCCACAUCUCUGCACACAUGGUGCAGAGAGAGAGGCGAACAUGUGUGUUAGGGAGAAGAAGAAGGAAUAAAGAGAGAGAGGCAGGCAGGCAGGAAGUCCCUGAGAGUAGCAAUCUACAUAUCAAAGAGAUAGUGUCAAAGCAGUAGAGAGAAGGGAUGACCAAUGUCUUGACCCCUCUAGCCCUCUGACUCACUAAUCUGUCCCCCUCUGUCAUUGAGGCAUGAGGCAGGCGCAGAGUCCUUCACUUCCAACACCCCCUCUCAGAAGAAACCUCUGCCAGUCUGUGUUGACAAUACUGAGCUAGAUGGACCAAUGGUCUCACUCAGUAAGCGGCAGCUCCCUAUGUUUGUAUCCCCAGCUGCAAUUUACUGUGGCUGGAGAUGAUGGGAGUUGUAGUUCAGCAACAGCUAAAAAACCAAGCUUGCCUUCUCCUGCUCUAUGGGGUUGUUUUUGAAACGCUCCAUCCCUGAAGUUGCUGCUGACAUGCAUGUAUGGACCAGGUUUCUGAGACUACACAGAGUGCAAAUGCAAAGCAAAGGUGAAUCACGUCUCAGGACACUCCCCCCCCCACCCGCCGCCACUUUGCAUGCAAUUCUAAGGUGCUGAUCUAGGGUUUUUAUAAUUUAAACGGGUAUUUUUUUGCUGCUGACUGAGUAAUUAAAAUCUGUUGUUAACUCCAUGUGUUUUUUAAAAGGAAACUAGGUUCACCCUGAAGGCUGUUUAUAAUUAUUUAUAAUCGCAUAAAGCAACACAAAGCCCAAUGCUUGAUGCGUUGUUGCAUGCAAAAUGAAAAGCUCGUUGUUAGUACAAUAUUGAGAAUAAGAUUUAAAUUACAAAAACUGUAAGCAAACCAGGCACUCUAAAGGACUCUGUAACCACCAGCUAUUUCUCCUGGGAGGCGGUGCUGAUAUUUCCAUAUAUUGAAAGUGAAAUGUAUGAACUGUAGCUAAUCACCAGCCUGCAUCUAGGGCAAAAAAUUCUGGUGUCCAUAUCAGUCCUGGGGAGCAGGAAUUACUGUGUCCUCAGCAGUGCCACUCCUAUCUCUCUGACUUCCAGGAUGAAAUGAGUUUCAAAAAGGGUGAAAAAUACUUCUAGGAACAUGAAAAACAAGGGAUAAAUACUAGGAAAUGAAAUGCUGGGUUUUCGUUCCCGGUCAGGAAACCUAAGAAUGUAAGAGCUGCCUUGAUGGGUCACACCAUAGUCCAGCAUUCUGUGAUUGUCUUCCUUAGCAUCUAGCACUCGGGGGUAGAGUGCCUCUCUACAUGGAAGUUCCAUAUUGAUAUCCUGGUUGAUGUUUGUUGGGCCUGUCCCUCAAGAAUGUAUUUAUUCUCUUUUUAAAAAUGAACAAACCAUCAAUGCUAUUGGCCAUCUUGUUAGCCACAUCAUACAAUACUUUCCCCUGAAGAUCUGGCCCACAUUAUGAAAAGGGUGAUGUUCUUAGAGUGUGUUCAUUGCGAUAUUUUUCAGGGAUGUUCUGACACCCUCCUGUGUUGGACUAGAUGUCCUCCACGGACCCUCCCAGCUCUGCCCCCAGCUAACUGUUAAAUGUUUUACUUGUUGAUGGUUUUAUGUUGUUUUUAUAGUUUCUGAUUCUAACUGUUAAUUGAUUUUGGUUGUUUUUAUUUUAAUGUAAAGCGCCCUGAGCCAUUUUUGGAAGGGUGGUAUAGAAAUCAAUCAAAUAAAUAAAUAAAUAAGCAAACAGAUACCUUUUUAAAGUGGUGAUUCUCUUUAUUUAGCAGGGGGAGAGCAACUGGCCACAUUCAGCCCCAGCACAGCAUCCCUCCAGUGGCUGUUGCUGGUGUCUAUCUUAUGUUUCUUUUUUAGAUUGUGAGUCCUUUGGGGCAGGGUGCCAUUUUAUUUAUUUGUU